Long non-coding RNA from Amphiprion ocellaris (clown anemonefish), 1973 nucleotides. RefSeq lists it as uncharacterized. The transcript is spliced from 5 exons. The record is from RefSeq and is a predicted model, not a curated record. NCBI's taxonomy places the organism in Eukaryota, Metazoa, Chordata, Actinopteri, Pomacentridae.
CAGAGGUGCAGCUGUUAACCUGAAGUUGGAAGACGUGCACAUCGAUGGAACCACUAAAACUUCUUUCAACAGGUUGAUCUACAAACUGUGAGUGCUUUUUUGUUAUGGCAACUGUCCCAUCUGUCCUUUAUUUUCCAUUUCCUCUUUCCAUCUCUUGAAAUUGGUCUCCACAUGUAGGAUUGUAACGGUACACAAAGCUUCAUAGAAUACCAGUUUUGAGGUUUGAUUCAAAGUCCUUCAAUACCAGCUCAGAAUUGACCAUUAAACCAGCAGCUGAAGAAUUCCAGGUUUUCUGACCAACUGUACCGUUCCAUCCUGCUGUGGUCAGUGUGCAAAUUCAUAGGAACUGUAGUGUAGCUGUGGGCAUCUUUACAUACAGACUGUGCAGUGUGGUCAAGCUGCCUUGUUGUGGCUCAGCAGUUGCAACGAGGCAGCUUCACCUGACAAUUGAACUCUCUCAUACUGAGCUGUCAUCUCCUGCAUGUCCAGCACCUCUUUAUAUCUGCACCUGUCUGUCAAGCAUGAUCACUACAUAUGCCACGCCUCUGUGGCUGCACUACCUGUGGUAUUCCUUGUUCUUCCCUCAUUCACCAAGCUGAUGCCAGAAGAAGACGGAGCUGCAGCAGGAACUUCCAGAGACGCUGACUGGAAAUGGAGUCUUCAGAGUCUAUGAAAGUUCUCAGAUGCGCAGCAAUCACCAGACCACUGCACAUGGAUUGAGAUGCCAUCUGACUGAGGAGCUGAAAAUCAGACGACAGAGGUGCAGCUGUUAACCUGAAGUUGGAGGACGUGCACGUCGAUGGAACCAACCAAACUUUCUUUUCAACAGGUAGAUCUACGAAUCGUGAGAGCUGUAUUUUUUUUGUUUAUGGCCACUGUGCCAUCUAUCCUCUAUUUUCCAUUUCCUCUUUCCAUCUUAAAGUUGGCCUUCAUGUAGGACUGUAACGGUACACAAAGCUUCAUAGAAUACCUCAGUUUUGAGGUUUGAUUCAAAGUCCUUUAGUACAGCUCAGAAUUGACCAUUAAACUAUCAGCUGAAGAGUUCCAGGUUUUCUGACCAUGUGUACCGUUCCAUCCUGAUGUGGUCAGCGUGCUGUUGUAACUUUUUGUUUCCAGGUUGAUCAUCCUUCUGUUCGUCUCCCCGUAGUUUAGCCUUUAGUGCGUCGUUUAGAUGAUCCCUCAACAGUAAGUCUCACUUUCCAUACUUAUUUUGCUGGUUUGUCUCUCCUCGGCCGCCGUGCCGACCUGUCCUGUCUUUCCAACAUGGCCGCCGUGCCGUGUUUUUCGCAUCCUGGCCGCCGUGCCGCUUCUUCAGCCUGUCUCUAUCCAUUUCUCACCAUGCGUCGUCCAGCAUGGCCGUCGAUCCGUAGUUUGAAACCAUGCUGGAGAAGACAUUUUCUCUGGAUCUAUGGAUAGUAGGUGGUAAGUUUCUUUAAAUGUUGGUUCUGGUGUUGGGCUCAGUCUUGAUCUCUCAUUCUCUCUCUUAGUAUGUCUAUAAUGGCCGGUUUGCUAAACUUACUGUGUAAUAGAGCUGUGAAGAUUAUUGCGUUCGUUUAGCAGUAUAUUCUCGUGUUGUACAAAUGCCUUCAUGUGUCUGCUGUAUCGGUCUGUAUUUAAAGAUGGUCAUCGCCUCCGACAGCCAAAUUCAUAGACUGUAGUGUAGCUGUGGGCAUCUUUACAUACAGACUGUGCAGUGUGGUCAAGCUGCCUUGUUGUGGCUCAGCAGUUGCAACGAGGCAGCUUCACCUGACAAGUGAUCUCUGUCAUACUGAACUGUCAUCUCCUGCAUGUCCAGCACCUCUUUAUAUCUGUACCUGUCUGUCAAGCAUGAUCACUCCAUCUGCCACGCCUCUGUGGCUGCACUACCUGUGGUAUUCCUUGUUCUUCCCUCAUUCACCAAGCUGAUGCCAGAAGAUGGAGCUGCAGCAGGAACUUCCAGAGACGAUGACUGGAAAUGGCGUCUUCAGAGUCUA